GCAGGGAGGAACAGGAAAUGCUACCAAAAAAGCAAACUAGAGUGGGUUUAUUUGGGAAUCAAAGCCUCAAAGGACAGGAAGAAGAAAAUCAGUGAUGUUCAAGCCAAAGGAAGAGUUAAAUCAGAGAAGAAUGUAAUUUACCAGGGUGGAAUGAAAGAUGUUAGAGGAAGUUUCCAGGCUCCUGAGAGAGUAGAAGAAAGGACGGAGAAGUCCCUGACACCCAGGGCCUCAGCAGGUCAUGAUGGAACUAUUAUAGGGUCAAGGGACAGCCAGGGCUGGGUGGGGCCACGAAGAAGGUUGCAAGGCUGCAAGGCUGAAGCCUGGAGCGGCUGGGGAGGUUGGGGAGACAGCAAGAGGUUUGGGGUUCUCAGGAGGGAGGAACUGAACUCAGCUGGGGGCUGCCUGCUGAAGCGCCGAGGGCGGGGAGCGGGGCGCCUAGAAAUAAGGAUGGGGAGUCUAGGUGCGGAGGGUGCUUCUAGAAGAAAGGGGAUGAGUGAGGUGAUGGAAGGUGAGGAUGAAGGAGGGGCUGUGGCAGAAAGUGAGGACCGAGAUGUGGGGGACAGAGGGGAACUAGAUGAUGAGGAUGUAGGCGGAGGAGGUGAUGGAGACGCUGAGGAGGAUUUGCGUGAUCAGACGCUACAGAAUGAAUCUUGGCGGAGGGGUCCCUGCUGGGGCUCAAAGGGAACCACGUGUCGACAGGCACAACCUUCAGCUUCCUGA
Molecule: long non-coding RNA, 720 nt
Filed under: Bos mutus (wild yak)
Lineage: Eukaryota; Metazoa; Chordata; Mammalia; Artiodactyla; Bovidae
Description: lncRNA (ENSBMUG00000011880.1)
Rfam family: ZNFX1 antisense RNA 1 conserved region 2 (bases 632-720)
Source: RNAcentral